This 238-nucleotide ribosomal RNA is filed under the name uncultured bacterium. Its description in RNAcentral is "partial 16S ribosomal RNA". It matches the Rfam family "Bacterial small subunit ribosomal RNA", at positions 100 to 334 of the family's 1533-position model. The record is from RNAcentral.
CGGAACGGGUGAGUAACGCGUGAGGAACCUGCCUCAAAGAGGGGGACAACAGUUGGAAACGACUGCUGAUACCGCAUAAGCCCACGGGUCGGCAUCGACCUGAGGGAAAAGGAGCAAUCCGCUUUGAGAUGGCCUCGCGUCCGAUUAGCUAGUUGGUGAGGUAAUGGCCCACCAAGGCGACGAUCGGUAGCCGGACUGAGAGGUUGAACGGCCACAUUGGGACUGAGACACGGCCCAG